GACGAACGCUGGCGGCGUGCUUAACACAUGCAAGUCGAACGGGCCUGUCUUCUUUUUUGGGGGUGGGUUGAGUGGCGAACGGGUGAGUAUCACGUGAGUAACCUGCCCUUCGGUCCUGGAUAACCGCUUGAAAGGGCGGCUAAUACGGGGUGGUCCGGUUGGUCCGCAUGGGCUGGUCGGGAUAGAUUCACUGUUUUUGGUGUUUCGGCGGGGGAUGGGCUCGCGGCCUAUCAGCUUGUUGGUGGGGUGAUGGCCUACCAAGGCGGUGACGGGUAGCCGGCGUGAGAGGGUGGGCGGCCCCACUGGGACUGAGAUACGGCCCAGAGUCCUGCGGGAGGCAGCAGUGGGGGGUAUUGCACAAUGGGCGGAAGCCUGAUGCAGCGACGUCGCGUGAGGGAUGGAGGCCUUCGGGUUGUGAACCUCUGUUUCCGGUGGUGAAGGCCCUGUCCGUGUGGUGGGGUUGACGGUAGCCGGGGAUGAAGCGCCGGCUAACUACGU
RNAcentral lists this ribosomal RNA (498 nucleotides) under uncultured bacterium. RNAcentral describes it as "partial 16S ribosomal RNA". It matches the Rfam family "Bacterial small subunit ribosomal RNA", at positions 28 to 506 of the family's 1533-position model. The record is from RNAcentral.